CUGCGGCAGGUUCGUGUCGAACGCAGUGAGACAACGGAGCCGCUUGCGGCGACGGCCCGAAGGGCGAGCGAAGCGAGUCAUCCUGCACGACCCACCA
Molecule: small RNA, 97 nt
Filed under: Salmonella enterica
Lineage: Bacteria; Pseudomonadati; Pseudomonadota; Gammaproteobacteria; Enterobacterales; Enterobacteriaceae
Description: partial RtT sRNA
Rfam family: RtT RNA
About the family: This family represents a bacterial cis-regulatory element known as RtT RNA. The exact function of RtT is unknown although it is thought that it may be involved in changing the cellular response in relation to amino acid starvation.
Source: RNAcentral